UGUGAUGUUGGUCAGCACACUCAUCUGUUGGCUUAUGUAUCGGAGCUGGGGAUCCGGCGCUUUCCUCGGAGUGCACUGGCUUCUUAUUGAUGCUGCAUCACAUUUUAGAGGCCUGCAGAGACAAGAUCAUUGGACAGAGACAACAUGUUGUUUCCUUUCGCGCAGGACAAGCAACUCAUUCAAAAUGAGAUUAAAUUGUCAAGAGCAAAAGAGACAGCAGGUUAGGAAGACUACGCUAAGGAGACAGAGCAAUGCACAAGAGAUCACCAUCAACAGGAUCUGUUUGAAUCUUCAAAUGCGAGGUGUAUCUCUCUUUUUUUACAAGAGCUGUGCAUUUGUCUUUACCAAUACUAACUCAAAACUCUCUUUGAUACAUGUUUACUUGUGAAGUCAAAUGAAAAAAAAGCAAAAGAUUCCUGCUUGAAGCUUAGGGGAUUUACAUAUCUUACAUUUACAUUCACAUGUUUAGUGUCUGUCACAGUGUGUGCAGUUAUAUGAGCGUAGAGGAGCUGGAUUUAUAUUAAAUUUUAGUAACCUCGCUGUAUAUAAAAUCAAUAUUUCAGGUAUAUGGAAAACAUUGACCCUCUAUAAAGUGCUUUUAUUCUGGAAAAGACUCACGGCCCAAAAAACCAAGAGGGCAUUUUUCUUUUAGCCUUUUUAGAUACCAACUUAAUGGACGGGGAAAGAAAGAGUAAGUCACUCUAAAUUGACUGACAACUCUGAUCUCCAACCUCAGUCCCAGUGCUUUUGAAUUUAUUAUUAAAUUGAUAAAAUAGUAAUAAAGACAGAGAGAGCAGAAAGAAUCUGGAUUCG
RNAcentral lists this long non-coding RNA (813 nucleotides) under Astyanax mexicanus (Mexican tetra). RNAcentral describes it as "lncRNA (ENSAMXG00005008366.1)". Lineage: Eukaryota; Metazoa; Chordata; Actinopteri; Characiformes; Acestrorhamphidae. The record is from RNAcentral.